RNAcentral lists this long non-coding RNA (501 nucleotides) under Androctonus crassicauda. Lineage: Eukaryota; Metazoa; Arthropoda; Arachnida; Scorpiones; Buthidae. The record is from RNAcentral.
AAAUUAAUAUAAAGAUAAUUCAUCAUUACAUUUACAUAUCUAGAUUCUCUGGGCAAUGCUGGGCACAGGUUUGCUGGUGUUGAAUAAAUGCUUUUUAUUCGUUAAAAGUUUUAAAUGAAGAAAUUGUGUAUUUUGUGCUUACUAGAAACUUUAUAUGAGUAAAACUGAAGAGAUGUAAAAACAGAGAUAGAGUGCUGAUGUUGUUUUUCUGUGUCCAAGUUUCUAUUGUUGACUGCAUGAUAAAGCAGGUGUUUACAGCCUUGAAGGAUCCAGGAUUCAAUUCUGGGUCUCAUUAUUAUUUUUCAAGAAGAAUUCAGGCCCAACCAGACUCAUUGAACUCUAUCCUUCAAUCUUCCAGUCGAUCCCACUAUAGAUGUUGGAUAGUCUGUGGAGGCUUUGAAAGUAAUCAUUGUCAAAAAUAUCUAUUAACAGCUUAAUUCAAACUAACCUAACCAAGUUUCUAACAAAAAUAACCAAUUAUUUUUUUAAUGUUAAUUUCCC